CAGCCGCCGCGGGAAUACGGAGGGUGCAAGCGUUAUCCGGAUUUAUUGGGUUUAAAGGGUCCGUAGGCGGAUCUGUAAGUCAGUGGUGAAAUCUCACAGCUUAACUGUGAAACUGCCAUUGAUACUGCAGGUCUUGAGUAAAUUUGAAGUGGCUGGAAUAAGUAGUGUAGCGGUGAAAUGCAUAGAUAUUACUUAGAACACCAAUUGCGAAUGCAGGUCACUAAGAUUUAACUGACGCUGAUGGACGAAAGCGUGGGGAGCGAACAGGAUUAGAGACCCCCGUAGUCCCUGUCUCUUAUAC
Molecule: ribosomal RNA, 301 nt
Filed under: uncultured bacterium
Lineage: Bacteria
Description: partial 16S ribosomal RNA
Rfam family: Bacterial small subunit ribosomal RNA
Source: RNAcentral